Molecule: ribosomal RNA, 912 nt
Filed under: uncultured bacterium
Lineage: Bacteria
Description: bacterial SSU rRNA
Rfam family: Bacterial small subunit ribosomal RNA
Source: RNAcentral
AGAGUUUGAUCCUGGCUCAGGAUGAACGCUAGCGAUAGGCUUAACACAUGCAAGUCGAGGGGCAGCAUUAUUUUAGCUUGCUAAGAUAGAUGGCGACCGGCGCACGGGUGCGUAACGCGUAUGCAACCUGCCUGUAAUUAGGGCAUAACCCGGUGAAAGUCGGACUAAUACCCUAUAUUCUUCUUUUUCCGCAUGGAGAAGGACGGAAAGAUUUAUUGAUUACAGAUGGGCAUGCGUCCCAUUAGCUAGUUGGUAAGGUAACGGCUUACCAAGGCAACGAUGGGUAGGGGGACUGAGAGGUUGACCCCCCACACUGGUACUGAGACACGGACCAGACUCCUACGGGAGGCAGCAGUGAGGAAUAUUGGUCAAUGGGCGAGAGCCUGAACCAGCCAAGUCGCGUGAAGGACGACGGUUCUAUGGAUUGUAAACUUCUUUUGUAGAGGAAUAAUGGCAGCUACGUGUAGCUGAGAUGCAUGUACUCUACGAAUAAGUAUCGGCUAACUCCGUGCCAGCAGCCGCGGUAAUACGGAGGAUACGAGCGUUAUCCGGAAUUAUUGGGUUUAAAGGGUGCGUAGGUGGCGUAUUAAGUCAGUGGUGAAAAGCUGCAGCUCAACUGUAGUCUUGCCGUUGAAACUGAUAUGCUAGAGAGGAGACGAGGUAUGCGGAAUGUGUGGUGUAGCGGUGAAAUGCAUAGAUAUCACACAGAACGCCGAUUGCGAAGGCAGCGUACCAGGCUCCGUCUGACACUGAAGCACGAAAGCGUGGGGAUCAAACAGGAUUAGAUACCCUGGUAGUCCACGCAGUAUACGAUGAAUACUAGAUUUUUGCGAUAUAGUGUAAGAGUCUAAGCGAAAGCGAUAAGUAUUCCACCUGGGGAGUACGCCGGCAACGGUGAAACUCAAAGGAAUU